GCCGGUCAGUGGUUCAAUCCCUCUAGCCCUCA
This 32-nucleotide transfer RNA is filed under the name Entamoeba moshkovskii. RNAcentral's name for it is "tRNA-Trp". The record is from RNAcentral. Lineage: Eukaryota; Evosea; Mastigamoebida; Endamoebidae.